Molecule: RNase P RNA, 403 nt
Filed under: Streptomyces sp. SID625
Lineage: Bacteria; Bacillati; Actinomycetota; Actinomycetes; Kitasatosporales; Streptomycetaceae
Description: Bacterial RNase P class A
Rfam family: Bacterial RNase P class A
About the family: Ribonuclease P (RNase P) is a ubiquitous endoribonuclease, found in archaea, bacteria and eukarya as well as chloroplasts and mitochondria.
Source: Rfam by way of RNAcentral
CGAGCCGGGCGGACGGCCGCGUGAAGUUCCCGCGAGGGGCUUCCCGAGGAACGUCCGGACUCCACAGGGCAGGGUGGUGGCUAACGGCCACCCGGGGUGACCCGCGGGACAGUGCCACAGAAAACAGACCGCCGGGGACCUCGGUCCUCGGUAAGGGUGAAACGGCGGUGUAAGAGACCACCAGUGCCCAGGGUGACCUGGGCAGCUAGGUAAACCCCACCCGGAGCAAGGUCAAAAGGAGACACCCCGGUGUCUCUGCGCGGACGUUCGAGGGCUGCCCGCCCGAGUCCGCGGGUGGACCGCACGAGACCGGCGGCAACGCCGGUCCUAGAUGGAUGGCCGUCUCCCCGGCCGCCGCGAGGCGACCGGGCGACAAAAUCCGGCGUACAGCCCGACUCGUCUG